GGUGCCCUAUCCCCGUGCCAUACCUUCACACUUAGGAGACCCGGGAGGCGGAGUCUUGCCGCAAAAAGAACGAUACACGCCUGUGGAUCCGUUGACGAAACCGCAAGGUUUAAGAGGGCCACAUUAUAAGGUGUUACGUCGAUUCCGUUUUGGUGUUCUUCGGAAAAGUUGUAAGUAACUAUAGGUUAGGACUAUUCGAGAUAAAAAUAGAUACACUGUAAAAGAUAUAUCCUUGUUUAUU
This is a long non-coding RNA of Culex pipiens pallens (northern house mosquito), 241 nucleotides long. RefSeq lists it as uncharacterized. The record is from RefSeq and is a predicted model, not a curated record. NCBI's taxonomy places the organism in Eukaryota, Metazoa, Arthropoda, Insecta, Diptera, Culicidae. The transcript has 3 exons.